UCGCUAAAUCCUAAAUUAAAACAAAGUCGUGUUUUCUUAUUUUCAGAAGGGGAAGUUUGAAGCAGAGAAGAAGGGGGAAAAGGGAGAACACCUACGACGGUCGCUGCUCCGCCGUUAUUCCCACCGACGACCUGUUUUCGGCCAGCGACGCUACACACAGACCACCGUCGCCGGAUUCCCCUCCAGGACGUCUCUCCUUUGCUUUCCGACGAUUGUUUCAAGGGCGAAAAGUCGCCGGUUUCCUCCUUCUAUCUUAGCCUCCUCCGUCUUUCGUCGACUGUAAUCAGGGCGAAAAUUCGUCGGUUUCCUCCUUCUAUCUUAGCCUCCUCCGUCUUCCGUCGACUGUAAUCAGCUCCAUCAUCGCCAGAUUCUGCUUCUGCCCGUCCUUCCUCCUUUUUCUGUCUUUUUCCAUCGCCCCCACUAGGAACACCUUCGUCGCCGCCUCUGCUUUUCUGGUCAACUCCUCCGCUUGUUGUAGAAUUUGUCACCAUGAAAAGGAAAGAGCGUUGGUGGAUGUACGAUAGAUACGAUGGCGGUAUGCUCAUAGACUUAGGCCAGAGUUUGUGGAUGGUGUUGAACAAUUCAUACGGUUUUGUGAAGCUCAUCCUGAGAGCCCGGGCAUAGAUGAUAACACCGUGAGCACCUCCAUUACGAAUAUUUUUCAAGCACAUUGGCGCGAACCAUGGCUUAACUAUGAAAUGGUUGACAACGUUACUAAGACCCACUGGUGGAACUCGUUUAUGAAACAAUACCUUUGGAAUGCUGAUCUUGAUGCCCUCGUGAAGAAGGAGUAUGAAAAGAAGGCACAUAAGAGGCUGAGAGUUCUUCAUUUUUUUCGAACAUAGUACAAGUCGAACAAUGAAGUUCGAAAAGCAGCGAUUCGAGACAUAGCUAUAACUCGACUUUGAGAGUUCCGAUGAAGAAGACGCGGCGGCACACGGUGAAUCGAUGGUGCUCAAACUCGCCGGAAAAAAUGGAGUAUGUGUGAGGGUGACUGUAAGAUGUGACUGCGCUGGAGAGUGGAGACUAGGAGAGAAGGUUUUUGAGUUUGAAAAUGUUAGGGUAAGGUAAUGGGUAAGUCAGUAAGUAAUACGGAGUAGAAAAUUCUCAAAAUUUAUAUUAAUUUUUUUUGAUUAUUAUUAAAAUCCGGGUUUUAGGUCCAGACCUGAAACCCGGAAUCCACUAGGUCCGGUCCGGACUGAUCCAGGUCCAGUCCGGUCCAGGUCCAAAAUACGGUCUGGACCGAUUUUUGCACAGCCCUACUUCCAACUGCUCCUGAGGUGUUCCUAAAGACACUUUUCAAGGAAGUUCCAGGAAAAGAAAAAGUUGCGGCUAACAAGAGGGCACAACAAAUCUCGGAAGCCUACCAAAAGAAGCUUGACGAGUCUUCCACUCAAGAAGGGUCACAACCGGACCCUAACCAGCUAUACUGAGAGGUCGUUGGUGGUAGGAAAAAGGGUGUAGUGAAGGGCCUAGGUGCAAGUGCUAGUUUGUUUUACACCCCCUCUUCCGAGAAAGGCUCGCAAUCGUACAAUACUUCUAUAGCUUCACAUUUGGAGGAACGUGUGCAAGCCGAGGUUGCCGAGCGAAUAGAGGAGGCAAAAGUGCAAAUGCAAGCACAGAUGGAGGCACAGUUUGGAACGCAAUUGCAGGAGGCAUUGAAGAAGGAGCGGGAGGAGGCAGCAAUUGAGAGUAAGCGAAUGAUGGAGACAAUGUUGCAGAACUUGUUCUCUAACUGUUCAGGUGGUCCUCCAUUUCAGUUUCGUAGGGAAGAUGACCCGGACAUGAGUGGUGGUGGGCUUGGUCACCAGACUCCGGUGUCGUAGUUUUUGUUCAUAAAGCUCUUACAUUAGUAUUGUUGAUAUUUUUUAGGGGAAUAUAGGCCUUAGGUUUUUUUUUGUGGGGGAUAUAGGUCAUUUCGUUAUUUUUUUUGGGGAAUAUAGGCCUGAAAUUGGUAUUAUAUUGUUACAUGUUGGCCUUAUCUAUUUUUUGAAGGAACAUAGGCCAUUACUUAUUCAUAUAAACCUAA
Molecule: long non-coding RNA, 2029 nt
Organism: Chenopodium quinoa (quinoa)
Lineage: Eukaryota; Viridiplantae; Streptophyta; Magnoliopsida; Caryophyllales; Amaranthaceae
Exons: 9
Source: RefSeq, a predicted model, not a curated record